GACGAACGCUGGCGGCGUGCUUAACACAUGCAAGUCGAACGGAAAGGCCCUUCUUUUGUGGGGUGCUCGAGUGGCGAACGGGUGAGUAACACGUGAGUAACCUGCCCUUGACUUUGGGAUAACUUCAGGAAACUGGUGCUAAUACCGGAUAGGAGCUCCUGCUGCAUGGUGGGGGUUGGAAAGUUUCGGCGGUUGGGGAUGGACUCGCGGCUUAUCAGCUUGUUGGUGGGGUAGUGGCUUACCAAGGCUUUGACGGGUAGCCGGCCUGAGAGGGUGACCGGCCACAUUGGGACUGAGAUACGGCCCAGACUCCUACGGGAGGCAGCAGUGGGGAAUAUUGCACAAUGGGCGGAAGCCUGAUGCAGCAACGCCGCGUGCGGGAUGACGGCCUUCGGGUUGUAAACCGCUUUCGCCUGUGACGAAGCGUGAGUGACGGUAAUGGGUAAAGAAGCACCGGCUAACUACGUG
RNAcentral lists this ribosomal RNA (468 nucleotides) under uncultured bacterium. Its description in RNAcentral is "partial 16S ribosomal RNA". It matches the Rfam family "Bacterial small subunit ribosomal RNA", at positions 28 to 507 of the family's 1533-position model. The record is from RNAcentral.